Molecule: ribosomal RNA, 467 nt
Filed under: uncultured bacterium
Lineage: Bacteria
Description: partial 16S ribosomal RNA
Rfam family: Bacterial small subunit ribosomal RNA
Source: RNAcentral
GACGAACGCUGGCGGCGUGCUUAACACAUGCAAGUCGAACGGAAAGGCCCUGCUUUGUGGGGUGCUCGAGUGGCGAACGGGUGAGUAACACGUGAGUAACCUGCCCUUGACUUUGGGAUAACUUCAGGAAGCUGGGGCUAAUACCGGAUAGGAGCUCCUGCUGCAUGGUGGGGGUUGGAAAGUUUCGGCGGUUGGGGAUGGACUCGCGGCUUAUCAGCUUGUUGGUGGGGUAGUGGCUUACCAAGGCUUUGACGGGUAGCCGGCCUGAGAGGGUGACCGGCCACAUUGGGACUGAGAUACGGCCCAGACUCCUACGGGAGGCAGCAGUGGGGAAUAUUGCACAAUGGGCGGAAGCCUGAUGCAGCAACGCCGCGUGCGGGAUGACGGCCUUCGGGUUGUAAACCGCUUUCGCCUGUGACGAAGCGUGAGUGACGGUAAUGGGUAAAGAAGCACCGGCUAACUACGUG